UGGGGAAUAUUGCACAAUGGGCGAAAGCCUGAUGCAGCAACGCCGCGUGAGUGAUGAAGGUCUUCGGAUUGUAAAGCUCUGUCUUUUGGGACGAUAAUGACGGUACCAAAGGAGGAAGCCACGGCUAACUACGUGCCAGCAGCCGCGGUAAUACGUAGGUGGCGAGCGUUGUCCGGAUUUACUGGGCGUAAANGGGUGCGUAGGCGGAUGUUUAAGUGAGAUGUGAAAUACCCGGGCUUAACUUGGGUGCUACAUUUCAAACUGGAUAUCUAGAGUGCAGGAGAGGAGAAUGGAAUUCCUAGUGUAGCGGUGAAAUGCGUAGAGAUUAGGAAGAACACCAGUGGCGAAGGCGAUUCUCUGGACUGUAACUGACGCUGAGGCACGAAAGCGUGGGUAGCAAACAGGAUUAGAUACCCUGGUAGUCCACGCCGUAAACGAUGAGUACUAGGUGUAGGAGGUAUCGACCCCUUCUGUGCCGCAGUAAACACAUUAAGU
RNAcentral lists this ribosomal RNA (495 nucleotides) under uncultured bacterium. RNAcentral describes it as "partial 16S ribosomal RNA". It matches the Rfam family "Bacterial small subunit ribosomal RNA", at positions 355 to 865 of the family's 1533-position model. The record is from RNAcentral.